GGAGGUGCGGUCAUGACGAAGUCAUGACAUAUGAAUCGCACCAACCGACGUGCCGCCGAACGCAGUGAGGGGGCAAUACAUA
Molecule: small RNA, 82 nt
Filed under: uncultured Eubacterium sp.
Lineage: Bacteria; Bacillati; Bacillota; Clostridia; Eubacteriales; Eubacteriaceae
Description: GA-cis RNA
Rfam family: GA-cis RNA
Source: RNAcentral